UGGCCAUGCUGCGAACAUUUUCUCAACUUGUCCUUGUACCUCUCCCGAGUGUCAUACAAGGUUUCUGAUUCUAACUGCCUAUAUGAGGAAAUGUCAUUUAUGAGCUU
Molecule: small nucleolar RNA, 107 nt
Organism: Dioscorea cayenensis subsp. rotundata (Guinea yam)
Lineage: Eukaryota; Viridiplantae; Streptophyta; Magnoliopsida; Dioscoreales; Dioscoreaceae
Source: RefSeq, a predicted model, not a curated record